AUAGAUGAAUAGAAUGAGCAAAAGUUGCAGCACAGCGUGUCACCAGAGAGGAAAAGAAUAUCCUUGCUGUGCCAAGAAAGAAAAGACCAUGGAUCUACUAGUUGCAGAUUUCAGCAGUAAUGCCAAGGGGGCAAGAAGUGACCAGCAGAACAAUUAGGCCAUGGCAACAGAAGCCAACUACAACCCAUGUUCCAAUCUAUGACCUCCCUCUCCUGCUGGUACAAGGAUAUGUAUUCCUUAGAGCAAAGGAUGCAAUGUCAAGCAAGUUGUGAUACCUCAACUAUCUACAAUUUAACACCAAGGAAAGAACACUGUUUGGAGAAAUGAGAAAGAUUAUCAUCAGUGUCUUUCAGAAGUCAUCAAAAGAAGAAAAGGAGAAAAGAGAGGAGAAAGCAGAAAGAUCUGGAGUCUGGGAAGUUCAAGAGCAUGGCACCAACAUCUGGCAAGGGCUUUCAUUCUGCAUCAUCUCAUGGAGGAAAAUAAAAAGGAGGCUGGAUGCUCCUGUGAAGUACGUCUUUUAUCUACUUGCUAUCUUUGCAAUUCCUUCAUGCUACAAUGAGAGAUAGAGUUUAAACCUGAAAACAUUCUUGGAAAAGGAAUCUUCAUUAAUUCAAAUAUACCACAAGGUUCUGCCACUGUGGCCAUCACCUGGGAUUGGAGAAAGGCAAAUGGAACAGACCAACUCAGAAUUACAGUCCUCAUUUAUUUCAUCAGAGGUUGGCCUGUACUUACAUUAGCCCUUUCUGGCUAGAGCUUCAUGUCUCACCCACUGUCUGUUCACUUCUGACCUGAAACAAUGGGACUGCAGAAGAGAGAAGGAAAAUAUCUGGUGGUCAGGCUAACUCUGUGUACCCCAUGAUGAAGAUGUUUUCCAUAGGAGUUCAUUGUCACAGUGUCUUCCAGAGUCCUCACGAGUAUCAGAGAAGGCAUAAUCUGUACACGUGGCUUCAUUUAAAAUGAAAAUAUCAAGCAGUGUCAUUUUCACAAGUAUCCCCACACUGUCUGAGGCUGAAAAGAAGAGUGUAGCUAUGCACACUGCAGUGAGAAGAAAAUUUCAGCUCAAUUGGAGGAUGUAAAGAUUGAAAUACCACUGCUCCUAGUUCUGAUGCAAAAUUGAAAAGAGUGCACUGGGUCUUCAAAUGGCAUAUUGACAAGGAGAAAGAGGAAAGGAUGCCCCAGGACAGCCUGGGGGUCAAGGCUGGGCUCAGGCAUGCCUGGACAAGCCAUGCAAGUUGUCUCCGGACUUGAACCACGUAUCAGAGGAGCUAUUUGAGGAGCCACAUCAGCAUACCUGCUUCUGUGGGCCCCCAGGCUGUGGUGCUCAGCCCUUGCACUAUGAAACAUUUUUUUUUUCCAGAAGCCAAAGCUUUGAGCAUCUCCUCCCAUGUAGAGAGUGUAUAUGUUUACGUCCAUGUCUUUCGCCAUGUGAACGCAUGCAACCACCACCUCAAAUAUCAUAAAUCCUCUCUCUCCCCCUUUCUGUCUGCCUGUUUAUCUACAAUCUGUCUAUUUAAAUUCUUUUUAAACAAGAAGGGAAUAUCUUUAUGCCUGUUUGUAGGGAUAUUCUACAUCCAUCUGUUAUUUACAUCAUUCGUUUUCCUGAGGUGUCUCCAACAAAUCCUGGCUGGAUGCACUGUAUGUGUUAUUAAUAAAACAGCUGUAAAAAUA
This is a long non-coding RNA of Homo sapiens (human), 1668 nucleotides long. Ensembl annotates it as long intergenic non-protein coding RNA 1539. Lineage: Eukaryota; Metazoa; Chordata; Mammalia; Primates; Hominidae. The record is from Ensembl.